This 482-nucleotide ribosomal RNA is filed under the name uncultured bacterium. RNAcentral's name for it is "partial 16S ribosomal RNA". It matches the Rfam family "Bacterial small subunit ribosomal RNA", at positions 30 to 506 of the family's 1533-position model. The record is from RNAcentral.
AUUGAACGCUGGCGGCAGGCCUAACACAUGCAAGUCGAGCGGAUGAAGGGAGCUUGCUCCUGGAUUCAGCGGCGGACGGGUGAGUAAUGCCUAGGAAUCUGCCUGGUAGUGGGGGAUAACGUCCGGAAACGGGCGCUAAUACCGCAUACGUCCUGAGGGAGAAAGUGGGGGAUCUUCGGACCUCACGCUAUCAGAUGAGCCUAGGUCGGAUUAGCUAGUUGGUGGGGUAAAGGCCUACCAAGGCGACGAUCCGUAACUGGUCUGAGAGGAUGAUCAGUCACACUGGAACUGAGACACGGUCCAGACUCCUACGGGAGGCAGCAGUGGGGAAUAUUGGACAAUGGGCGAAAGCCUGAUCCAGCCAGGCCGCGUGUGUGAAGAAGGUCUUCGGAUUGUAAAGCACUUUAAGUUGGGAGGAAGGGCAGUAAGUUAAUACCUUGCUGUUUGACGUUACCAACAGAAUAAGCACCGGCUAACUUCGU